AGAUCGGGAUAACACCUGGAAACAGAUGCUAAUACCGGAUAACAACAGAUGAUGCCUAUCAACUGUUUAAAAGAUGGUUCUGCUAUCACUCUUGGAUGGACCUGCGGUGCAUUAGCUAGUUGGUAGGGUAACGGCCUACCAAGGCGAUGAUGCAUAGCCGAGUUGAGAGACUGAUCGGCCACAUUGGGACUGAGACACGGCCCAAACUCCUACGGGAGGCAGCAGAA
Molecule: ribosomal RNA, 227 nt
Filed under: uncultured Lactobacillus sp.
Lineage: Bacteria; Bacillati; Bacillota; Bacilli; Lactobacillales; Lactobacillaceae
Description: partial 16S ribosomal RNA
Rfam family: Bacterial small subunit ribosomal RNA
Source: RNAcentral